This 471-nucleotide ribosomal RNA is filed under the name uncultured bacterium. RNAcentral's name for it is "bacterial SSU rRNA". It matches the Rfam family "Bacterial small subunit ribosomal RNA", at positions 26 to 507 of the family's 1533-position model. The record is from RNAcentral.
UACGAAGGACGAACGCUGGCGGCGUGCUUAACACAUGCAAGUCGAACGGAAAGGCCCUGCUUUGUGGGUGCUCGAGUGGCGAACGGGUGAGUAACACGUGAGUAACCUGCCCUUGACUUUGGGAUAACUUCAGGAAACUGGGGCUAAUACCGGAUAGGAGCUCCUGCUGCAUGGUGGGGUUGGAAAGUUUCGGCGGUUGGGAUGGACUCGCGGCUUAUCAGCUUGUUGGUGGGGUAGUGGCUUACCAAGGCUUUGACGGGUAGCCGGCCUGAGAGGGUGACCGGCCACAUUGGGACUGAGAUACGGCCCAGACUCCUACGGGAGGCAGCAGUGGGGAAUAUUGCACAAUGGGCGGAAGCCUGAUGCAGCAACGCCGCGUGCGGGAUGACGGCCUUCGGGUUGUAAACCGCUUUCGCCUGUGACGAAGCGUGAGUGACGGUAAUGGGUAAAGAAGCACCGGCUAACUACGUG